Molecule: ribosomal RNA, 192 nt
Filed under: uncultured Anoxybacillus sp.
Lineage: Bacteria; Bacillati; Bacillota; Bacilli; Caryophanales; Anoxybacillaceae
Description: partial 16S ribosomal RNA
Rfam family: Bacterial small subunit ribosomal RNA
Source: RNAcentral
UCAUCAUGCCCUUAUGACCUGGGCUACACACGUGCUACAAUGGGCGGUACAAAGGGUCGCGAACCCGCGAGGGGGAGCCAAUCCCAAAAAGCCGCUCUCAGUUCGGAUUGCAGGCUGCAACUCGCCUGCAUGAAGCCGGAAUCGCUAGUAAUCGCGGAUCAGCAUGCCGCGGUGAAUACGUUCCCGGGCCUU